UUUUUUUGUUCCUUUUUCCGUGUUGUUAAUCUUUUAUCUAAUUCAGACCGAAACUAAUUUAACUCUCUUUUUUUUUUUUUUUUACAUCUCAAAAUAAAUCUGAUGAUUUAAUUACAAACUACGAAAACAUACGAGAAUUCGUAUAUGAACUACUUUAACCUAGCAAUUAUGUUUUAGAAAUCAGCCAAAGCUUCACCAUCUU
This 202-nucleotide long non-coding RNA is filed under the name Capsella rubella. Its description in RNAcentral is "long non-coding RNA (CRUB_LNC001441)". The record is from RNAcentral. Lineage: Eukaryota; Viridiplantae; Streptophyta; Magnoliopsida; Brassicales; Brassicaceae.